Molecule: ribosomal RNA, 253 nt
Filed under: uncultured bacterium
Lineage: Bacteria
Description: partial 16S ribosomal RNA
Rfam family: Bacterial small subunit ribosomal RNA
Source: RNAcentral
UACGGAGGGGGCUAGCGUUGUUCGGAAUUACUGGGCGUAGAGCGUACGUAGGCGGCUUUGUAAGUUAGAGGUGAAAGCCCGGGGCUCAACUCCGGAAUUGCCUUUAAGACUGCAUCGCUUGAAUCAUGGAGAGGUGAGUGGAAUUCCGAGUGUAGAGGUGAAAUUCGUAGAUAUUCGGAAGAACACCAGUGGCGAAGGCGACUCACUGGACAUGUAUUGACGCUGAGGUACGAAAGCGUGGGGAGCAAACAGG